CUCAACAUGUAAUUACUUUCUUCACGUUUCAUUGAACCAUAAAAAGAUGAUGAACAAACUUAGAGUACGUGGGAAUUAAGAAUAAGAAGUAUGGCUAUAUAAAAAGAUAAGGAAAUAGGGUCAAUAGAAUUCCGAAUAUAUGAAAAUAUGAAAUAAGUAUAGCGCAAACACGGAUACACAACUAAAAGUUGUUGAAUAAUGUUGCAUUCGAAGAAAUAUGGUGUGGAUGCUUUGAAAGUUUGGCUAAUAGAUAGGUUAGUUCCCUCUGAAAUUUAAACGGGUGAGAUACAAACGGUCUGGGAACUUACCUGUCUUGUUUUCAUCAAAGUUUCUUCCAUUGUUCCUUUGGCAACUUAGGAACUUCGUGUUUGACAGCACCCAUAGUUCUAUUAUGAGACCUCUAAUACUCUUAGGCAAGUGAGUAUGUAUUUUUUACAACACAAGAACUAAGUGUGACACAUAAAAAAUAAGCGUACAUUCUUUACUUCAAGUUUAACAUGCAUUAAGAACCCCAACUUGACAUAACUUAAGGGAAAAAUACUUUAUACUCAUGUUAUGUUUCAUCAAGUCUUGUUCCAUUAAGCAAUAUACAAGAAUAUGACAUGUUAAGACAUAACCAUAAGUCAAUCAAUUCAUAAAUUCACAUAUUGCAUUCAUACCAAAAAUAUAUCAAUUCAUUCAUCUAAUGCCGCGUCAUGUGAACAGGACUUAUAUCUUAUGUAGUCUUAAACUAGUAAAAUAUAACUUUUAAAACUUUUGUUGAUAUGAUGGCUUACCUUGGAGUUCUUGAAGUGGUUGUUUUUGUUCCUUGAUGAUCUCAAAUCUAAUAUGAACUUCCACUUCUAACUUAAGUUCCAUUGUCAAUGGUUAAUGCUUAUGAAUAUAUAUUCUCAUCAUAAGAACCAUAAAAAACCAAUGCACAAUGGCUCGUUAGUUUGUACCAAAAAUAUAAUCAAUGUAAAUAAGUACAACUAAUACCUUAGUCCAUCUUGAAAACAAAAAUUGACAAUUUUAAAGCUCAUUUUCAAGAAGGAACUUGGAUAACAAUCUAUCCUAGAGUAUGUUCCACAUAGACAUCUAUACACAGAAGUUAUACAAAAGACAUCAUGUGGUACAACUUUUAAUCCCAUAUAAACAGCAAGAUAAAUAAUAUUCAAUUACCUUCUAGUCUAGCUAUACGACAACAAGUUCCUGAAAACAAUACAUNNNNNNNNNNNNNNNNNNNNNNNNNUGUGGAUGUAAAAAAGCUCGGUAGGGGAGCGUUCGUUGUUAGAGGAGAAACGCGCGCGCGAGCCGCGUUGGGCGAAGCGGACAAGCGAGAAUGUCGGCUGAGUAACGCAAACAUUGGUGAGAAUCAAUGCCGAAAACCCUAAGGGCUUCUCCGCAAGUUUGUCCACGGAGGUGAGUCAGGCUAAGAUUAGGCGAAAGGGCGUAGUCGAUGACAACAGGUGAAUAUUCCUGUCACUACCCCUUUGUUUUGGUCCGAGGACGGAGGAGGCUAGAGUUAGCGAAAGCAUGAGUUAUCGGUCAAGGACGCAGGUAGACCCUGUUUUCAGGGUAAGAAGGGGUAGAGAAAUGCUCGAGCCAUGUUCGAGUACCCAGCGCUACGGCGCUGAAGUAACCCUGCCAUCCGUCUCCCAGGAAAGCUCGAACGACCUUCAACAAAGGGUACCUGCUUACCCGAACCGACCACAGGCUAGGUAGGUAGAGAAUACCUAGGGCGCGAGGACAACUCUCUCUAAGGAACUCGGCAAAAAUAGCCCGUCACUUCGGGGAGAAGGGGUGCCCCUCACAAAGGGGGUCGAAGUGACCAGGCCGGGCGGAACUGUUUACCAAAAACAGCAGGUCUCCGCAAAGUCGUAAGACCAUGUAUGGGGGUGACGCCUGCCCAGUGGCCCGGCGAAAGGUCAAAGGAAUGUUGGUGACUGAUGACGGGGAGCGGCGACGAAGCCCGGUGACGGCGGCCGUAACUCACUAACGUCCUAAGGUAGACGAACAUUCCUUGUCGGGUAAGUUCCGACCCGCACGAAAGGCGUAACGAUCUUGGGGCACUGUCUCGGAGAGAGGCUCGGUUUGAAUAGACUGUCUGUGAGUGCGGACUACCUGCACCUGGACAGGAGACCCAUUGACGCUUUACGUGGUUCCCUGGGAUUGCUUUGCGGCUUUCCUGGCGCAAGCUUAGGUGGAAGCGCGAAGAAGCCCCCUUCGCGGAGGGCCCGAGCAUCAGUGAAGAUACACUCCUGAAGAGCUGAUUUAACCUUGUGUCAGUACCUACGCCACAGGACAGUCUCAGGCUAGACAAGUUUCUCAUGGGUGCGUAGGCCUCCCAAAGGGUAACGGAGGCGUGGCAAAAGGUUUCCUCGAGGCCGGACGGGAUUUGGCCCUCGGUGCAAGCAGAAGGAGCUUGACUGCAAACCCACCGUCGCAGCAGGGACAAAGUCGGGCCUUAGUGAUCGGACGGUGCGAGUGGAUAGGGCCGGUCGCUCAACGGGAUAAAAGUUACUCUAGGGAUAACAGGCUUGAUCCCUCUUUACCAAGAGUUCACAUCGACGGGAGGUUAUUGGCACCUUCGAUGUUCGGCUCUUCGCCACCUGGAGACCUGUAGUAGUUCCAAGGGUUGGGGCUUCGCCCCAUUAAAGGCGUACGUGAGCUGGGUUUCAGAACGUCGUUGAGACAGUUCGGUCCAUAUCCGGUGUGGGCGUAUAGAGCAUUGAGGGACCUUUCCCUAGUUACGGAGACCGGAGGACGCACCUCUGGUGUACCAGUUAUCGUGCCCGGUAAAGCUGGGCUAGCAAGUGCGGAGGGAAUAAUUGCUGAAAGCAUCUAAAGUUAGUAAGCCACCCCACAGAUGAGUUGCUCUCCUAUUCCUACUUCCCGUCACUGCCGAUAGCACAGCUGAGGCAGUGGACGGGUUUCUCUUGCCCUGAGGGCUGAGGCGAAGAAGUUUGGAAAGAGAAGGUCACGGCGAGACGAGCCGUUUAUCAUUCGAUAGUGUCAGUGGAAGUGCAGUGAUUGUAUUGCUCAGCAUGAGGCAUUCUAAAACAGACCACAGACUU
This 3056-nucleotide ribosomal RNA is filed under the name Chenopodium quinoa (quinoa). RNAcentral's name for it is "bacterial LSU rRNA". The stretch from base 1084 to 3056 matches the Rfam family "Bacterial large subunit ribosomal RNA". Lineage: Eukaryota; Viridiplantae; Streptophyta; Magnoliopsida; Caryophyllales; Amaranthaceae. The record is from RNAcentral.